Molecule: ribosomal RNA, 405 nt
Filed under: Excidobates captivus (Rio Santiago poison frog)
Lineage: Eukaryota; Metazoa; Chordata; Amphibia; Anura; Dendrobatidae
Description: partial 16S ribosomal RNA
Rfam family: Bacterial large subunit ribosomal RNA
Source: RNAcentral
UUCAACGGCCGCGGUAUCCUAACCGUGCGAAGGUAGCGUAAUCACUUGUUCUUUAAAUGAGGACUAGUAUGAAUGGCCCCACGAGGACUACACUGUCUCCUUUCUCUAAUCAAUGAAACUAAUCUCCCCGUGAAGAAGCGGGGAUAAACAUAUAAGACGAGAAGACCCUAUGGAGCUUUAAACAACAGGAGUACCUGCUUAUCCCUUACCACCUCCCGAAAUCUAAACUAACCCAAGCAUCUUAACUCCAAGUUUUAGGUUGGGGUGACCACGGAGAAUAAACUAACCUCCAUGUUGAAACGAGUACCUCUAAGCACAAAGCCACAACUUUAAGCAUCAACAAAUUGACCUCCAUUGACCCAAUAAAUUGACCAACGAACCAAGUUACCCUAGGGAUAACAGCGC